RNAcentral lists this ribosomal RNA (245 nucleotides) under uncultured bacterium. RNAcentral describes it as "partial 16S ribosomal RNA". It matches the Rfam family "Bacterial small subunit ribosomal RNA", at positions 57 to 305 of the family's 1533-position model. The record is from RNAcentral.
GCAAGUCGAACGGAAACAUGUCUAGCUUGCUAGAUGAUGUCGAGUGGCGGACGGGUGAGUAAUACUUAGGAACAUGCCUUUGGGUGGGGGAUAACUAUUGGAAACGAUAGCUAAUACCGCAUGAUGUCUACGGACCAAAGGGGGCUUUUAGCUCCCGCCCAGAGAGUGGCCUAAGCGAGAUUAGCUUGUUGGUGAGGUAAAGGCUCACCAAGGCGACGAUCUCUAGCUGUUCUGAGAGGAAGAUC